RNAcentral lists this ribosomal RNA (751 nucleotides) under uncultured bacterium. RNAcentral describes it as "bacterial SSU rRNA". It matches the Rfam family "Bacterial small subunit ribosomal RNA", at positions 574 to 1324 of the family's 1533-position model. The record is from RNAcentral.
GGCGGCUGAUUAAGUCUGAUGUGAAAUCCCUGAGCUUAACUUAGGAAUUGCAUUCGAUACUGGUAAGCUAGAGUAUGGGAGAGGAUGGUAGAAUUCCAGGUGUAGCGGUGAAAUGCGUAGAGAUCUGGAGGAAUACCGAUGGCGAAGGCAGCCAUCUGGCCUAAUACUGACGCUGAGGUACGAAAGCAUGGGGAGCAAACAGGAUUAGAUACCCUGGUAGUCCAUGCCGUAAACGAUGUCUACUAGCCGUUGGGGCCUUUGAGGCUUUAGUGGCGCAGCUAACGCGAUAAGUAGACCGCCUGGGGAGUACGGUCGCAAGACUAAAACUCAAAUGAAUUGACGGGGGCCCGCACAAGCGGUGGAGCAUGUGGUUUAAUUCGAUGCAACGCGAAGAACCUUACCUGGUCUUGACAUAGUAAGAACUUUCCAGAGAUGGAUUGGUGCCUUCGGGGAACUUACAUACAGGUGCUGCAUGGCUGUCGUCAGCUCGUGUCGUGAGAUGUUGGGUUAAGUCCCGCAACGAGCGCAACCCUUUUCCUUAUUUGCCAGCACUUCGGGUGGGAACUUUAAGGAUACUGCCAGUGACAAACUGGAGGAAGGCGGGGACGACGUCAAGUCAUCAUGGCCCUUACGACCAGGGCUACACACGUGCUACAAUGGUCGGUACAAAGGGUUGCUACCUAGCGAUAGGAUGCUAAUCUCAAAAAGCCGAUCGUAGUCCGGAUUGGAGUCUGCAACUCGACUCCAUGAA